Molecule: long non-coding RNA, 639 nt
Organism: Magnolia sinica
Lineage: Eukaryota; Viridiplantae; Streptophyta; Magnoliopsida; Magnoliales; Magnoliaceae
Exons: 2
Source: RefSeq, a predicted model, not a curated record
GUAAUGGAAUUUUCAAUGAUUAUAGAUUAAAGUUUACAGUUUUAUUAUAUUCUGCUUGCAUUAUAGUGUAAUGGUCUAAUCAUAUUUUAAUCAUCUCUCUAAGCAUAAGCACAAAUGCAUUGUACCGUCAACACUACUUGUAUAAUGUUUUAGUAUAUUCCACUUGUAUUGAUAUUGUUUAAAUUUAUAAGUUCGUAGCUCGCACAAAUUCAGUGAUGGCAUCAGGUGGGAGAGUACAUCGUUCGCGCACUUGAUCUACCCCUUCUACCCGUGAUGUGAUGGAGCCAGCAUCGCCGUCACAUGUUGCAUCGCAGGCGUCUGAUCCUUCAGUCGUGCAUACACCGGGCACUGCAGAGGGAGGAGCAAGAGAGGAUGGAGGAGGACCUGGCGAGGCAGAGGGAGGAGCAGGAGAGGAGGAGGAUGGAGGAGCAGGCGAGGGAGAGAGAGGAGCAGGAGAGGAGGAUAGAGGAGAUGCGGGUGGAGCAUGAGCAACGGAUGACGGAGAUGUUUUAGGCUCUUACUACACGCUUACCCACUGAUACUCCACCACCUCCGCCUUCAUCUUUGUGAUUUUUUGUAUUUUAUUUAUGAUGUUAAACUUAUAUGUAUUUAUGUGUGAAUGAAUGUCAUGUUGAUGGA